This 527-nucleotide ribosomal RNA is filed under the name Mesomycoplasma hyorhinis. RNAcentral describes it as "bacterial LSU rRNA". It matches the Rfam family "Bacterial large subunit ribosomal RNA", at positions 667 to 1188 of the family's 2925-position model. Lineage: Bacteria; Bacillati; Mycoplasmatota; Mycoplasmoidales; Metamycoplasmataceae. The record is from RNAcentral.
CGUAGGGAAACCGAGUCUGAAUAGGGCGACUUUAGUAUAUUGGCAUAUACCCGAAACCAGGUGAUCUAUCCAUGAGCAGGUUGAAGCUUAGGUAAAACUAAGUGGAGGACCGAACCGUAGUACGCUAAAAAGUGCCCGGAUGACUUGUGGAUAGCGGUGAAAUUCCAAUCGAACCUGGAGAAUAGCUGGUUCUCUUCGAAAUAGCUUUAGGGCUAGCGUAUAGUAUUGUUUAAUGGGGGUAGAGCACUGAAUGUGGAAUGGCGGCAUCUAGCUGUACUGACUAUAAUCAAACUCCGAAUACCAUUAAAAUUAAGCUAUGCAGUCGGAACGUGGGUGAUAACGUCCACGCUCGCGAGGGAAACAACCCAGAUCGUCAAGUAAGGUCCCAAAAUUGUGUUAAGUGAGAAAGGUUGUGAGAUUUCAUAAACAACUAGGAAGUUGGCUUAGAAGCAGCCACCUUUUAAAGAGUGCGUAAUUGCUCACUAGUCAAGAGAUCUUGCGCCAAUAAUGUAACCGGGACUCAAACA